Molecule: ribosomal RNA, 447 nt
Filed under: uncultured eukaryote
Lineage: Eukaryota
Description: bacterial SSU rRNA
Rfam family: Eukaryotic small subunit ribosomal RNA
Source: RNAcentral
CACCAGGUCAGGACACGGUAAGGAUUGACGGACUGAAGGCUCUUUCUCGAUUCCGUGGAAAGUGGUGCAUGGCCGUUUUUGGUUGGUGGAUCGAUCCGUCUGGUUAAUUCCGUUAACGAACGAGACCUCGGCACUCCGAAUAGCGCGGCGGACGUCGCGGCCUCCGGGCCGUCUUCCGCACGAGCUUCUUAGAGGGACCGUCCCCCCGCCGGGGAAGGAGGUGCGAGGCAACGACAGGUCUGUGAUGCCCUUAGAUGUUCUGGGCCGCACGCGCAUUACACUGACGCGUCCAACGGGUGACUCCCGACCCGAAGGGGCCGGGGAAUCCGCAAGGCGCGUCGUGAUGGGGAUUGAACGUUGCAAUUGUUGUUCACGAACGAGGAAUUCCUAGUAGGCGCGGGUCAUCAACCCGCGCCGAUUACGUCCCUGCCCUUUGUACACACCGCC